Small nucleolar RNA from Lethenteron reissneri (Far Eastern brook lamprey), 81 nucleotides. RefSeq annotates it as small nucleolar RNA SNORD11B. Lineage: Eukaryota; Metazoa; Chordata; Hyperoartia; Petromyzontiformes; Petromyzontidae. The record is from RefSeq and is a predicted model, not a curated record.
UGCUGGCCGAUGAUGAUGCUCAUACGAUAACCUGACUUAAUCCUGAAGGUUUAUCAGUCACUACCUCAACUGAGGCCUGCU